AAGAGGUGUAUGAACACCUAGAGCUGCUAACUCGAACAACUGCAGAUAAAAUCUACAGACCUCUU
Molecule: transfer RNA, 65 nt
Filed under: Omanosaura jayakari
Lineage: Eukaryota; Metazoa; Chordata; Lepidosauria; Squamata; Lacertidae
Description: tRNA-Ser
Source: RNAcentral